This 141-nucleotide small nuclear RNA is filed under the name Gopherus agassizii (Agassiz's desert tortoise). RNAcentral's name for it is "U4 spliceosomal RNA (ENSGAGG00000016195.1)". It matches the Rfam family "U4 spliceosomal RNA". From Rfam's summary of the family: U4 small nuclear RNA (U4 snRNA) is a component of the major U2-dependent spliceosome. The structure of U4 snRNA from yeast and human has been reported. U4 snRNA presents a k-turn RNA motif in the 5p-SL related to recognition of Snu13 protein. Lineage: Eukaryota; Metazoa; Chordata; Testudines; Testudinidae. The record is from Rfam by way of RNAcentral.
AGCUUUGCGCAGUGGCAGUAUUGUAGCCAGUGAGGUUAAUCCGAGGCGCGAUUAUUGCUAGUUGAAAACUUUUCCCAAUACCCCGCCAUGACGACUUGAAAUAUAGUCGGCAUUGGCAAUUUUUGACAGUCUCUUGCGAGA